AGUGAACGCUGGCGGUAGGCCUAACACAUGCAAGUCGAACGGCAGCACAGUAAGAGCUUGCUCUUACGGGUGGCGAGUGGCGGACGGGUGAGGAAUACAUCGGAAUCUACUUUUUCGUGGGGGAUAACGUAGGGAAACUUACGCUAAUACCGCAUACGACCUACGGGUGAAAGCAGGGGAUCUUCGGACCUUGCGCGACUGAAUGAGCCGGUGUCGGAUUAGCUAGUUGGCUGGGUAAAGGCCCACCAAGGCGACGAUCCGUAGCUGGUCUGAGAGGAUGAUCAGCCACACUGGAACUGAGACACGGUCCAGACUCCUACGGGAGGCAGCAGUGGGGAAUAUUGGGCAAUGGGCGCAAGCCUGAUCCAGCCAUACCGCGUGGGUGAAGAAGGCCUUCGGGUUGUAAAGCCCUGUUGUUGGGAAAGAAAAGCAGCAGGUUAAUACCCCGCUGUUCUGACGGUACCCAAAGAGUAAGCACCGGCUAACUUCGUG
This 492-nucleotide ribosomal RNA is filed under the name uncultured bacterium. RNAcentral's name for it is "partial 16S ribosomal RNA". It matches the Rfam family "Bacterial small subunit ribosomal RNA", at positions 29 to 507 of the family's 1533-position model. The record is from RNAcentral.